AACCAUCAGCGGGAACGCCUACCGAACUCUCCGGACGCUGACGACAUGCAGUUUCAAAAGUCGGGACAUUUUCACACAUUUACAGUAUUAUUGGUGGUUGACAAACGGAGAGAGAAUAUGGUUAACGCUUUUGUUUUGUUCUGUUUUUGCUUGUGUCGUCUGGCUGAUGUGGCCGAUGCAGUGAAGACAAUAUCAGUGAACGAGGGAGUUUCUGUCACUCUAAACCCUGAUGUAACUGAAGUACAGAAAUAUUUGUUGAUACAGUGGACGUUUGAAAGCAAAAGAAUAGCUGAAUUUAACAGGCUCACGCACACCAUCUCAACCUAUGAUACUGCUGAUAGGAGAUUCAGAGACAGACUGAAACUGGAUCAGACUGGAUCUCUGACCAUCACAAACACCAGAACCACAGACUCUGGACUUUAUCUACUUACAAUUGUCGGUGAAGAGACCAAAUACAAGCGCUUCAAUGUUACUGUCAAUGAAUCUCCACAGACUACAUCAUCAACGGAAAGAUCAUCAAGUUCGAAUUGUGUGACGUCCAGCUUUGUGGUAAAUCAAACUGAGAAUAACAACAAUACUGAACUCCAUCAACCAAGUUCAGACAUUCACUGUUGUGGUUUCACUGAAGCUGUGAUUCGAUUGGUUCUCUCUGCUCUGGUGGUCGUGGCUACUGUUGCUGUGUUGGUUUAUGACAUCAGAUCUACAAGAAGUGAGCUGAUCAAUACAGAAGAGACUAAACAUUACCAUCAGACUCUUGAGAAAUCAGACCAACAGUGUGAAUUGAGCAGAAGGUUUAGUUCCAGAUAUGUUGAGAUAUAAAGCAGACUAUACAUCAAUGCUUUGCACCUUUCCUGUUCCUUGCACAGCUAUUUAUUAACAUAUUGUUUUUGCAUUCAUUUGCCAUUUAUUGAUUGAUGAUCUAUUAAAUUUAAUAUAUGACUCUAAACAUAAGACAAAACUAAACAAAAUAAUAAUUAGUAACACAAAUGAUGGCGUAAAAACAUAAGCUCUCAGUUCUGCUGUAUCCUAUAAAUGAAUCUCACAGAAGCGAUUGGUGCACAUUUUUGACUUUAUUUAAUAAAGAUAUGGUUUUACAAUA
Molecule: long non-coding RNA, 1099 nt
Organism: Ctenopharyngodon idella (grass carp)
Lineage: Eukaryota; Metazoa; Chordata; Actinopteri; Cypriniformes; Xenocyprididae
Exons: 4
Source: RefSeq, a predicted model, not a curated record